RNAcentral lists this ribosomal RNA (2013 nucleotides) under Triticum aestivum (bread wheat). RNAcentral's name for it is "partial small subunit ribosomal RNA". The record is from RNAcentral. Lineage: Eukaryota; Viridiplantae; Streptophyta; Magnoliopsida; Poales; Poaceae.
AUGGCUCCAGAGAACACAGAGCAAGCUCCCAGCCCACGGAGCAAGCCAAAUGAGGGGUUCGACUUCGAGCCGCAUCCGGAGCUGCUCAUGGCCGCGCGGCGCGGCGACCGGGGGCAGCUCGAGCGUCUCCUUGGCCAAAAAGACGACGCAGCAGCGGCGCCCCAGCCGGCGCCAGUGCGACCGGCACGUCGUGAUGUCAUCGUCCACAUCGAGGAAGCCGUCAAUGUCGAAUCGGCAUCCACGGUAACCUCGGCCGACGCGCUCACCAUGGCGCGGGACUCCGUUCUCCACGUGGUCUCGUCGCGGGGCGACGCCGAUCAGUUCCUGAAGAGCGCGACGGUGAUCUACGACAGGGCCCGUCACCUGCUCGACGCCCGGAACGGCACCGGCGACACGCCACUGCACUGCGCCGUCCGCGCCGGGUGGGGCAGAAUGGUCGCUCAUCUCGUGGAUCUCGCGAAAGCGGAGAAUGGUGGCGGCGGCGGCGAGAGGUUGAAGGCGAUGCUGAGGAUGCAGAACGAGCAGGGAGAGACGGUGCUCCACGAGGCGGUCCGUUUGGGCAGCAGGGACAUGGUCGCCCGGCUGAUGAAGGAGGACCCCGAGCUAGCUCGAGUUCCGCCGGCCGAUGGCGCCUCGCCGCUGUACUUGGCUGUCUCGCUGGAUCACGACGACAUUGCACGGCAGCUCUAUCAGAACGACGAAGGGCUCUCCUACUCUGGACCAGACGGGCGAAAUGCCUUGCAUGUGGCCGCUCUCAAGGGCAAAGGGACAAUAAAAAUGCUACUGGAAUGGAACAAUGAUCUCAUCAGACAAGCAGACCGAUCCACUAGAAGCACGCCUCUCCACUUUGCGGCAUCAUGGGGGGAGCACGAGGGGAUCAGCUUACUGCUGGAUGCCGACCAAUCCGCGGCGUAUCAGGCAGACAGCGACGGAUCAUUUCCCAUACACGUGGCAGCGUACGCGAACAAAGUCAAGGCAGUCAACGUCUUGCUCGACGGCCGCCAGGACUGCGCCGAGCUACACGACGCCAAUGGCAGGACCUUCCUCCACGUGGCCGUCCUCGAGGAGAGCCAGUCGGUGGUGACGUACGCCUGCAAGCUGCAGAGCAAGAAAUUCUCAUCGUCGGUGAUGAACAUGCAGGACAAGGACGGCAACACCGCGCUGCAUCUUGCGAUCCAGAUGGGGAACGUGUGGAUCUUCAGUCCUUUGAUGAAGAACCGCAAAGUUAAGCUGAAUCUGAGAAACAACAAGGGCCAAACGCCGCUGGAUCUCUCGUGGAUCACGACACCUGCAGGGGUUCAUUACGGAUUGAACCCAAGAAUUAUGAUACAUAAGUUGCUUCAAGAUGCCGGCGCAAAGAAUGGCACUUUUAGAUGCGAUCAUUUCCACAAAGAACAUAUUGUUAUGCUAGACCCCAAGGAAGAAGCGCAGAAGAUAACCGACUCCACACAGACCAUCGGCAUCGCCUCCGUCCUGAUCGCGACGGUCGCCUUCACCGCAGCCUUCGCCCUGCCCGGUGGCUACAGAGCCGAUGACCAUCCGAAUGGUGGCACGCCGACGCUGGCCAGACACUACGCGUUUGACGUGUUCAUCAUCGCCAACACGCUGGCCUUCAUCAGCGCGUGCCUAUCCAUCACCAGCCUCAUGUACGCGGGGGUCACCACCGUGGACAUCCGUACCCGCAUGAUCUCCUUUGUUAUUUCGGUCACGUUCAUGGCCGGCUCGGCGAGGAGCCUCGCCGCCGCCUUUGUGUUCGGGUUGUACGUGGUGCUGGCUGCGGUCGCGCGCACGACGGCCAUUGCAUCUUGUGCUAUCACGGCUCUCGCCUUGGUCGAUGCCGUUUGGGUCUUCUCGAUGGUGACCAACGGGGAGCUGAUGUUGCUGAAGAGGCUUGGAGUUCGGGCAUGGUGGAGGCUGCCAAGGGCGAUUUUGCUGACCUUUCUGACGGAGUUUUGGCCUUACAUUGUGAUCGCUGGGGUGCUAAUAUUUUACAAGGUUGAUAGAGUGCAUUGA